GGGUUGUGAGGUUAAGCGACUAAGCGUACACGGUGGAUGCCCUGGCAGUCAGAGGCGAUGAAGGACGUGCUAAUCUGCGAUAAGCGUCGGUAAGGUGAUAUGAACCGUUAUAACCGGCGAUUUCCGAAUGGGGAAACCCAGUGUGUUUCGACACACUAUCAUUAACUGAAUCCAUAGGUUAAUGAGGCGAACCGGGGGAACUGAAACAUCUAAGUACCCCGAGGAAAAGAAAUCAACCGAGAUUCCCCCAGUAGCGGCGAGCGAACGGGGAGCAGCCCAGAGCCUGAAUCAGUGUGUGUGUUAGUGGAAGCGUCUGGAAAGGCGCGCGAUACAGGGUGACAGCCCCGUACACAAAAAUGCACAUAUUGUGAGCUCGAUGAGUAGGGCGGGACACGUGGUAUCCUGUCUGAAUAUGGGGGGACCAUCCUCCAAGGCUAAAUACUCCUGACUGACCGAUAGUGAACCAGUACCGUGAGGGAAAGGCGAAAAGAACCCCGGCGAGGGGAGUGAAAAAGAACCUGAAACCGUGUACGUACAAGCAGUGGGAGCACGCUUAGGCGUGUGACUGCGUACCUUUUGUAUAAUGGGUCAGCGACUUAUAUUCUGUAGCAAGGUUAACCGAAUAGGGGAGCCGAAGGGAAACCGAGUCUUAACUGGGCGUUAAGUUGCAGGGUAUAGACCCGAAACCCGGUGAUCUAGCCAUGGGCAGGUUGAAGGUUGGGUAACACUAACUGGAGGACCGAACCGACUAAUGUUGAAAAAUUAGCGGAUGACUUGUGGCUGGGGGUGAAAGGCCAAUCAAACCGGGAGAUAGCUGGUUCUCCCGAAAGCUAUUUAGGUAGCGCCUCGUGAAUUCAUCUCCGGGGGUAGAGCACUGUUUCGGCAAGGGGGUCAUCCCGACUUACCAACCCGAUGCAAACUGCGAAUACCGGAGAAUGUUAUCACGGGAGACACACGGCGGGUGCUAACGUCCGUCGUGAAGAGGGAAACAACCCAGACCGCCAGCUAAGGUCCCAAAGUCAUGGUUAAGUGGGAAACGAUGUGGGAAGGCCCAGACAGCCAGGAUGUUGGCUUAGAAGCAGCCAUCAUUUAAAGAAAGCGUAAUAGCUCACUGGUCGAGUCGGCCUGCGCGGAAGAUGUAACGGGGCUAAACCAUGCACCGAAGCUGCGGCAGCGACGCUUAUGCGUUGUUGGGUAGGGGAGCGUUCUGUAAGCCUGCGAAGGUGUGCUGUGAGGCAUGCUGGAGGUAUCAGAAGUGCGAAUGCUGACAUAAGUAACGAUAAAGCGGGUGAAAAGCCCGCUCGCCGGAAGACCAAGGGUUCCUGUCCAACGUUAAUCGGGGCAGGGUGAGUCGACCCCUAAGGCGAGGCCGAAAGGCGUAGUCGAUGGGAAACAGGUUAAUAUUCCUGUACUUGGUGUUACUGCGAAGGGGGGACGGAGAAGGCUAUGUUGGCCGGGCGACGGUUGUCCCGGUUUAAGCGUGUAGGCUGGUUUUCCAGGCAAAUCCGGAAAAUCAAGGCUGAGGCGUGAUGACGAGGCACUACGGUGCUGAAGCAACAAAUGCCCUGCUUCCAGGAAAAGCCUCUAAGCAUCAGGUAACAUCAAAUCGUACCCCAAACCGACACAGGUGGUCAGGUAGAGAAUACCAAGGCGCUUGAGAGAACUCGGGUGAAGGAACUAGGCAAAAUGGUGCCGUAACUUCGGGAGAAGGCACGCUGAUAUGUAGGUGAAGUCCCUCGCGGAUGGAGCUGAAAUCAGUCGAAGAUACCAGCUGGCUGCAACUGUUUAUUAAAAACACAGCACUGUGCAAACACGAAAGUGGACGUAUACGGUGUGACGCCUGCCCGGUGCCGGAAGGUUAAUUGAUGGGGUCAGCGCAAGCGAAGCUCUUGAUCGAAGCCCCGGUAAACGGCGGCCGUAACUAUAACGGUCCUAAGGUAGCGAAAUUCCUUGUCGGGUAAGUUCCGACCUGCACGAAUGGCGUAAUGAUGGCCAGGCUGUCUCCACCCGAGACUCAGUGAAAUUGAACUCGCUGUGAAGAUGCAGUGUACCCGCGGCAAGACGGAAAGACCCCGUGAACCUUUACUAUAGCUUGACACUGAACAUUGAGCCUUGAUGUGUAGGAUAGGUGGGAGGCUUGGAAGUGUGGACGCCAGUCUGCAUGGAGCCGACCUUGAAAUACCACCCUUUAAUGUUUGAUGUUCUAACGUUGACCCGUGAUCCGGGUUGCGGACAGUGUCUGGUGGGUAGUUUGACUGGGGCGGUCUCCUCCUAAAGAGUAACGGAGGAGCACGAAGGUUGGCUAAUCCUGGUCGGACAUCAGGAGGUUAGUGCAAUGGCAUAAGCCAGCUUGACUGCGAGCGUGACGGCGCGAGCAGGUGCGAAAGCAGGUCAUAGUGAUCCGGUGGUUCUGAAUGGAAGGGCCAUCGCUCAACGGAUAAAAGGUACUCCGGGGAUAACAGGCUGAUACCGCCCAAGAGUUCAUAUCGACGGCGGUGUUUGGCACCUCGAUGUCGGCUCAUCACAUCCUGGGGCUGAAGUAGGUCCCAAGGGUAUGGCUGUUCGCCAUUUAAAGUGGUACGCGAGCUGGGUUUAGAACGUCGUGAGACAGUUCGGUCCCUAUCUGCCGUGGGCGCUGGAGAACUGAGGGGGGCUGCUCCUAGUACGAGAGGACCGGAGUGGACGCAUCACUGGUGUUCGGGUUGUCAUGCCAAUGGCACUGCCCGGUAGCUAAAUGCGGAAGAGAUAAGUGCUGAAAGCAUCUAAGCACGAAACUUGCCCCGAGAUGAGUUCUCCCUGACUCCUUGAGAGUCCUGAAGGAACGUUGAAGACGACGACGUUGAUAGGCCGGGUGUGUAAGCGCAGCGAUGCGUUGAGCUAACCGGUACUAAUGAACCGUGAGGCUUAACCUUACAACGCCGAAGCUGUU
RNAcentral lists this ribosomal RNA (2929 nucleotides) under Escherichia coli. RNAcentral describes it as "bacterial LSU rRNA". It matches the Rfam family "Bacterial large subunit ribosomal RNA". The record is from RNAcentral. Lineage: Bacteria; Pseudomonadati; Pseudomonadota; Gammaproteobacteria; Enterobacterales; Enterobacteriaceae.